AGCGGCGGACGGGUGAGUAACACGUGGGUAACCUGCCUCAAAGUGGGGGAUAGCCUUCCGAAAGGAAGAUUAAUACCGCAUAAAGCCAAGUUUCACAUGGAAUUUGGAUGAAAGGAGUAAUUCGCUUUGAGAUGGACCCGCGGCGCAUUAGUUAGUUGGUGGGGUAAUGGCCUACCAAGACAGCGAUGCGUAGCCGACCUGAGAGGGUGAUCGGCCACAUUGGAACUGAGAUACGGUCCAGACUCCUACGGGAGGCAGCAGUGGGGAAUAUUGCACAAUGGGCGAAAGCCUGAUGCAGCAACGCCGCGUGAGUGAUGAAGGUCUUCGGAUUGUAAAGCUCUGUCUUUUGGGACGAUAAUGACGGUACCAAAGGAGGAAGCCACGGCUAACUACGUGCCAGCAGCCGCGGUAAUACGUAGGUGGCGAGCGUUGUCCGGAUUUACUGGGCGUAAAGGGUGCGUAGGCGGAUGUUUAAGUGAGAUGUGAAAUACCCGGGCUUAACUUGGGUGCUGCAUUUCAAACUGGAUAUCUAGAGUGCAGGAGAGGAGAAUGGAAUUCCUAGUGUAGCGGUGAAAUGCGUAGAGAUUAGGAAGAACACCAGUGGCGAAGGCGAUUCUCUGGACUGUAACUGACGCUGAGGCACGAAAGCGUGGGUAGCAAACAGGAUUAGAUACCCUGGUAGUCCACGCCGUAAACGAUGAGUACUAGGUGUAGGAGGUAUCGACCCCUUCUGUGCCGCAGUAAACACAUUAAGUACUCCGCCUGGGAAGUACGAUCGCAAGAUUAAAACUCAAAGGAAUUGACGGGGGCCCGCACAAGCAGCGGAGCAUGUGGUUUAAUUCGAAGCAACGCGAAGAACCUUACCUGGACUUGACAU
This 877-nucleotide ribosomal RNA is filed under the name Clostridium tyrobutyricum. Its description in RNAcentral is "bacterial SSU rRNA". It matches the Rfam family "Bacterial small subunit ribosomal RNA", at positions 94 to 987 of the family's 1533-position model. The record is from RNAcentral. Lineage: Bacteria; Bacillati; Bacillota; Clostridia; Eubacteriales; Clostridiaceae.